GAUGAACGCUGGCGGCGCGCCUAACACAUGCAAGUCGAACGGUUAAAGCAUCUUCGGAUGUGUAUAAAGUGGCGAACGGCUGAGUAACACGUGGGCAACCUGCCCUUUGCACUGGGAUAGCCUCGGGAAACCGAGGUUAAUACCGGAUACUCCAUAUUUGUCGCAUGGCGAAUAUGGGAAAGCUCCGGCGGCAAAGGAUGGGCCCGCGGCCUGUUAGCUAGUUGGUGGGGUAGUGGCCUACCAAGGCAAUGAUGGGUAGCCGGGUUGAGAGACCGACCGGCCAGAUUGGGACUGAGACACGGCCCAGACUCCUACGGGAGGCAGCAGUGGGGAAUCUUGCACAAUGGGCGAAAGCCUGAUGCAGCGACGCCGCGUGCGGGAUGAAGGCCUUCGGGUUGUAAACCGCUUUCAGCAGGGACGAGGCCGCAAGGUGACGGUACCUGCAGAAGAAGCCCCGACUAACUACGUGCCAGCAGCCGCGGUAAUACGUAGGGGGCAAGCGUUAUCCGGAUUCAUUGGGCGUAAAGCGCGCGUAGGCGGUCUGUUAGGUCAGGAGUUAAAUCUGGGGGCUCAACCCCUAUCCGCUCCUGAUACCGGCAGGCUUGAGUCUGGUAGGGGAAGAUGGAAUUCCAAGUGUAGCGGUGAAAUGCGCAGAUAUUUGGAAGAACACCGGUGGCGAAGGCGGUCUUCUGGGCCAUGACUGACGCUGAGGCGCGAAAGCUAGGGGAGCGAACAGG
Molecule: ribosomal RNA, 737 nt
Filed under: uncultured Atopobium sp.
Lineage: Bacteria; Bacillati; Actinomycetota; Coriobacteriia; Coriobacteriales; Atopobiaceae
Description: bacterial SSU rRNA
Rfam family: Bacterial small subunit ribosomal RNA
Source: RNAcentral